Long non-coding RNA from Cucumis sativus (cucumber), 1603 nucleotides. RefSeq lists it as uncharacterized. The transcript is spliced from 4 exons. The record is from RefSeq and is a predicted model, not a curated record. NCBI's taxonomy places the organism in Eukaryota, Viridiplantae, Streptophyta, Magnoliopsida, Cucurbitales, Cucurbitaceae.
UUGUUAACUUAGUUAAUGAUGAAUACUUGUAUUGUUCUAUAGGAUGCAUUAGCUGAAACACAUAGAGAUGAGGACAUAUUGACUGAGUCAUUGGGCUCUAAGGAGCAUGGUGGACGUGUACGUGGCAUGGGUGGUUUUGUCUCUCAAUCACUAUAUUUCAAGACAGUGAAAGGGAAAGAGAAAAUUGCAAGUUCUCAAGUUGUAGAAGAUGACUCAAAAAGCAAAAGUUACAAAAAGGGUCAUAAUCACUUGAGAUCGUCCAUCAGAAGUGUUAACAUAGAUCUCUAUGCCGAUGAGGAUUUGGGCAACACACCUAUGAACGAAGAAGUGAAGGAGGAGAUUGUAGUUUACCUAUUCCAGUGAAGGGCAAGAUAGAGACUUUAAAUCAAGCAUUAGGUUUUGAUAUUAUUUUGUUUGUGCUUGGAGCAUUCAACCCCAAAGGAUGUUCUGUAUUCUUCAAAUUACAUAAAUGUUAAUGGAACCAUUAAGCUCUUAUAUGGACAUGUCGUGAACAAUAUGAAGGAUGUAGAUAUGGUUCGCAUCCUAAUGAACGAGCUAAUAUUCGGUAAAAACAAAUUCAUUUAUUUAGCUCGUUAGGACUUGCUCCAUUAUUGCGGCAUGGUAGAAAUAGGCUAUAUGUGCAUCCUAGCAUACAUUACGUAAGUAAACAUCUUUUACUCAUCUUUAUGUCCAAUACUAUAGCUAUAGUUAUUUUGUUCCUUUUUAACUAAGGUUGCUUUUACUUAGAUAUCUUUGGGAUGAAUGUGAUUGUGGAAGCAAGUUUUUUGUUAUGACCAAGCAAAAAUAACAUCACAUAUCAAGGAUCGUGAUCUCCGAUCCAGAAAUUUUGCCAACCAGUUAGAAGCGGCUACCUUGGAACAAAUAGUUCUAAUUCCGUAUAAUACUGGGUAAAUAAAUAAGAUUAACACAUUAUUAUGUUUUUCAUUGAGGUUAAAUGUAUACUCACAUUGAAGAUGUUUAUUGUAGUUUUCAUUGGAUGUUGCAUGUCAUCGAUCUUCGAGAGAACUGUGUUUAUGUUUUGGACUCUCUUCAAAGUAAAGUUAACGAAGACAUCCAUGGAGUCAUAAAUGUGACUUAUGAUUUACUUCUUAUUUGACUUCAUUGUCUUCUAAUUCUAAUGUUUCCAAAUGUAUAGAGGAUUAAAAACAUGGCAAGCUAAGCAUGAUUUACAACAUUAUCGGUCAAAUCCGAAAUGGAAACCUAUAAAGUUUAAUACAAAAAAGUGCAUAUACGCAAGAGGAGAUUGACGAGAUUCGAACAAAAUAUGCAAGCUUUGUUAGCCGAUUUGUGUAAGCUUUUACACUUUUUUUGUAGUAUAUAAGUUACUAGUACUAAUACUAAUUGUUUUAAUAUAUAAGCUACGAGAUUCUAGUACUACUUGUUGUACAUACUUUAAUUUUGAGGUUUUCUGCUUGUAGUAGUUUAUGAAUAAGUGUUGUAUUGUAGUGUUUUAGGUGUUGACUUUAGAGUGUAUUUGUUGUAGUACUAUGUGGAAAGUGUGUAUUAGUGGAGGAAUUUGUUGUACACAUACUUUAAUACUUUACAUAUUAUUUACUUGAUUGAUAUGUGUAUUUUUGUAGUA